CAAUGAAAGCCACACAAGAAUAUGAGUCAUGAUUUCCUGUAGCUCUGCCACCCACCUGUAACACGAGUAAGAAGGACUAGCCAGGCUGGUUUUACCAAAACUCCAAUUUCCUAACCAAGUUUUUUAAUGCCUCUCAGCACUUUGGGAACUGCUUUUACUGAUGUAAGCUCCACACCUAGAACUAACCACAUGGAAGUUGCUUACAGUGAUCCAGUGGAGUCUAAGGCUCAUUACUCAUCUGCAAUUAAGGACCGGCUUAAAGUGUGGUUUAAGGACUGCAAAAAACUCAAUACAAUUCCUAGGUUCAUGGAACAGCAUACAUAGUAUCCCACCUUUUAGUUUGAUUCAGCUGUAUCUGAGAAUCACUACAAACUAUGAGACAGCAUAUUUCCUGUUCAAAUAACUAGAGACCCGUGGUCUUGAAGGUCUAUCAUAAAAACAUAUUAAAGACCAGUAUUUAUUUUACUACAUUAUUUUAAAUUCUUCUAAAGAAUUACUAAGAAUAAUACAAUGUGAAGCAACUAAGCACAAUUCAAGCAUGUAAGCCUGAAUUGAAACAGAAGCUCUCUUUUUAUUUGAAGAAUACAUUGUGUCACUGUGUCUUCUCAAAAGUCACAGCUCUUACUAAAUAUAGACAUUACUUUUAUUUUUAAAUCUAUAAAUAGAUGCUAGUGUAAUUCAUCAAUUAAGCAAGACCUAUAAGGAAUUUAGGAUUUUUCCCUUGCCCAGAGAUGUGAAAUGCCUGCUUUAUUUGUUUCAAAUGAAAGCUUAAACUCUGCAAAGUCAAAGGUAACCUUUUAGUGGCUAAAUGUGAUUGCAGGGCCAAAAAAAAGAGUUGUUUCAAAUUACGCAAAAGGACUUGAGUAACUGGAUUCUAUCAGUCUCUCUGGGAUGUUGAAAGGCUCAUUUAAGAAAGAAUGAAUGGGAAGUAUCUCCUAUGACAUGGAUCUUUUACAAGUUUAGCUGAAUAUAACAGUGCUGCAGUUCCUGCAAGUGCAAUGCAUACGUUUCUGAUGUCAUAUAACUAGUUUUAAAGAAUAGCAUAACACCAUAUCUGAAAGGUACACGUUAAACAAGUUGAGAAUGAUAAAUGAUGAAAAGCAGCCAUCAGUCAUCAACAACGUCUUGGGGAUCCUGGAAGUAUGGAGGAUCCAACAUACCCCUUGAUGACUCAGAUAUAGCUGUAAAACUGUGCUAAUAAGUAGCUCCAGAGAAACAAACUAGUAAUUAGCGUGGAUAAAUAGUCAUGCAGAGUGAUCUGCAUAAGCUGGAAAGCAAAGCAAAUUUGAACAAAAUGUAUUUUUGUAGAACAAAAGGUAGGCUGUCUCUUCCAAAGGAUAGACUGUAUUCUGGAAAAUACCAGUUCUGGAAAAAUCCUAGAUACCAUGUCCCAGCCAAGAACCAGUUUAGUGCGAGGCUCCCCCGUGAUAAGGCAAAAAGGGUGAAUGCAAUCUUUGAGUAUGGAGAAGUAUAUUCCAGUGUUACAUACAGAGAUAAAUUAUGCCCAGUGCUAAGGAGCCAUGUUUAAAAAAAAACAACAACUGUUGGCAAACCAACUGCCAGUGUUCCAGCCAGCAAAACACCUUGACAGGGGAAUCAGUCUCUCAUACAAGCAAGAAUUGACUUGUUGCACUUUAAAAGAUGAAUUAAAAACUCCAAAGAAAACCACAAAAAACCCAAACAAAACAAAAGAAUGCCGGGCUUUAAUGGUUAACAGCAAUGAUGAACAUUGGAAGAACAGAAUAUUAGAAAACAAGGCUAAAUAAGUUGAAUUUAGAAUUAAGGUACACUUUCUAAAAAAGCAAAUAUGAUUUAAGCAUUUGAAUAAAUUUCAAAAUAAAACUAUGGAUUUUUCAUUAUCUAUCUUCAAAUUAACACUCAAGUUUUUCUGGCAAGUACUUUAUGGUAAGUCAAGUUAGUUAUUGGAUUCAACACUGGUGAAAUCUAUCAUCUUGCACUACAUAGUGUCAGGCCAACUUAUCUAUCAGAUGAUUAAUGACUUGAUUUUAAUGUUACUGGUAACACUUUCAUGCAAUUGUCUACUUAUUCAAUCUCCAUGUCAUAGACUGAAAGGGAGGAGGGAAAUUUGGAAAUGAAACUUCAAAAAGAGUGAGUGGAAGUAACUUCUGAAGAUAGCACAGAGAGAAAAAUGGUCGAAGAGUAAAGCUGUUGGCAAAAUCUAGAUGUUUUCUUCAAUGUAUGUAUAGCUCCCAUAUAGUGAAGCUACAGGUAGCAACAGCCAUUUAAGUAAUUGUUUACUUUGUGUAUGACUGCCUACUAGCCAAGUUCCUCAUUCACGCUCAGACAACUUUCUUAUGAAGAUCAAUGAGCCAGCUUGCAGCUGAGGGAACCACAUCAACCUAAAUGGCUGCUACAGUCCAGAGCUGUAAUGUGACAUGACUUUUCUUUCACAGUGAACUUGUCGCCUCCAGUUUAAUUCACUUAGGUGUUACUGUCAUAGCUGUUGUUCAGGUAUUAACAAGUUUAAAUCAAGGUUGACUUUCUUAUCCAUCAGGAAUUGGUCAACACUCAACUAAAAGCAGUUACACGCUGUUUGGGGUUUGGCUUUCUCUACUAGUCACUACUAAUUCUAUGAUUGCUAGCAGAGCAGCUUCUGUGCAUUCUCUGUAGCUUAUUUUUUCCAGAAUCAGAUGCUUAUUCAGAGUAUAAGAAAUAACUCUAAUUUCCAUAUUCUUCCUUGAAAUUAUAAUGAUGCAGCAAUUUCUGCUUUAGUGUUCCUUUCAUUACAUUAUCUGAAAUGCCACUGUUUCAAUUUUAUAUUCGCUUACUCCUGGCCCAAUAAAUUUACCCAUUUCCCUGACUCUGCACAUACAUUCUUCACUGCCUGCUUGCUCAAUAGGUCAUCUGCCUUCAGUCCUAGCCAUCCUAUUUAGAGUACCUUGACUCCUUAAAUUUCUACAGUUUAGGGAAAUAUGGAAAUGGACAGGGAUAAAAUUUUAUCUAUUCUUUACUACCUUUCAUUUCUGUAUCAGCCAAGGCAACUUCUAAUAUCUGUUCUUUGAAUAUGACCUCAGAUUAAACAAUGGAACACACAUUCUAGAUGUAUUUCUAAGGUAAAAUAAACACCAGUAUUU
Long non-coding RNA from Passer domesticus (house sparrow), 3095 nucleotides. RefSeq lists it as uncharacterized. Lineage: Eukaryota; Metazoa; Chordata; Aves; Passeriformes; Passeridae. The transcript is spliced from 3 exons. The record is from RefSeq and is a predicted model, not a curated record.